UUGGAGGGCAAGUCUGGUGCCAGCAGCCGCGGUAAUUCCAGCUCCAAUAGCGUAUAUUAAAGUUGUUGCAGUUAAAAAGCUCGUAGUUGAAUUUCGGGAUCAAUACGUCGGUCGUGCUUCGGUACGUACUGGUGUCAUUGAUUUCUCCCUUCUGACGAACCAUGAUGUCAUUAACUUGGUGUCAUGGGAAAUCAGGACUGUUACUUUGAAAAAAUUAGAGUGUUUAAAGCAGGCUCACGCUUGAAUACAUUAGCAUGGAAUAAUGAAAUAGGACGUUCGAUCCUAUUUUGUUGGUUUCUAGGAUCAACGUAAUGAUUAAUAGGGAUAGUUGGGGGCAUUAGUAUUCAAUUGUCAGAGGUGAAAUUCUUGGAUUUAUUGAAGACUAACUACUGCGAAAGCAUUUGCCAAGGAUGUUUUCAUUAAUCAAGAACGAAAGUUAGGGGAUCGAAGACGAUCAGAUACCGUCGUAGUCUUAACCAUAAACUAUGCCGACUAGGGAUCGGAUGAUGUUAAUUAUUUAAUGACUCAUUCGGCGCCUUACGGGAAAC
RNAcentral lists this ribosomal RNA (548 nucleotides) under uncultured Glomus. Its description in RNAcentral is "SSU rRNA". It matches the Rfam family "Eukaryotic small subunit ribosomal RNA", at positions 548 to 1098 of the family's 1831-position model. The record is from RNAcentral. Lineage: Eukaryota; Fungi; Glomeromycota; Glomeromycetes; Glomerales; Glomeraceae.